RNAcentral lists this long non-coding RNA (4350 nucleotides) under Gallus gallus (chicken). The record is from RNAcentral. Lineage: Eukaryota; Metazoa; Chordata; Aves; Galliformes; Phasianidae.
CCAAACUUAGGCUGGGCUCCAUUUUUUGCCACGCAUGUGAAGAACGCUGUUAUUAGAUGAACACAAUAAAAGGAAAACCACGCUUUCCUGGUCUCGGUAGAUAAUACUCAUUGGAGAAGAAAGCUGGAAGCAAACCAGAUAAAAACACAAACGACACGAUGAUCUGACACUCCUGUGGCUUUACGUAACGCUGUCUAUUAUUUGUGUAUCCUCUGUUUACAGGGAGUGUGAGCAGUCCCACCCUUGCUCAGGCCAGCCUGGCUUCCUCUGCUCCCCAAAGCUCGGUAGCAUCGCUGGGGAGUUACGUUUUUGCUAUGAAAUAAGAGUCAGCCUCUCUAGAGUUAUUUAUUACUUCUCUCAUCAAUUCACAAAACGUGUCCCUUCUCAAGGGAUGGAAUUUGAAGACUGCUUUGUAUUUUUAGAUGAUUGUGCCGGGCCUUUAAUUAUUUUGAAGUCUGGCUCUCAGUAGACAUCAAUGGGGAGGGAACUCUGCCUACAAUGCUAAUGGCCACAGCACUGUCUGAAAUUCUCACUCUUGAUCGUAUGCGGCUUCAGAACGAUUUCACAGUGUUUUAGAAGGCAGAAUUUCUUGUUAUUUGAAUGUGCUCUUAUUAACCAUGCAUGGAUUGAUUUCCCGUUACGAUUGUGGUCAGUGACUUUGGAAAAAAGGGAGGGUUUGGGACCUUGAUUUUCACCAUUACUGUACUUUUCAUUGAAGCUGGAGCUGUCACUGGGGUGAGGAUUUUUGCCUAUCCCGAAGCAAUUGACUGGAGCCACCUCACACACGCUUGGUUUGGAACCAAAAGAUGCCAUGUUUUGUACCUUCUGUAGGUCUAUGCUACUGAAAGCUUGGAGCUUUUCCCUGGACCUGCAAUAAAAUAUCUCCAGGUUGAAUUGCAGUUAUCAUUGGCCACUCCGGAAGACGUGAUUUGUUAAGUCCCAGUUAACCAAAAUACGUGCUUAACUUUAAAUGCAGUCUAGCAAGUCACUUAAGGAUAUGCUGAACCGAGUGGGGCUUCUGUAUCCAGUGAAGCGUGGGGUGAGUGCUUGGGUGGAUUAGGGCCUCAGUUCUCAUCUUUUCAUUUUAGCUUAUACUUGUUCAAGCUAGGUGUGUCUUGGAGUAAACCCAGCAAAGCACAUGCCUGGACAUAUGAUACUGUCUUUCAGCUCUUACAGCUGAAAAUUUAGGAAGAGUUCAUGGUCUGAUGGCAUUCCUGUACCAUCGCUCAGGCCUGAUGGCUUGCUUCUUUGUUUUUAGUUUUUCCUGCUGCGUUCAGGAGAACAGGUUUUUCAGGCUUCCUCAGGUCAGGGAUGCACACCCUGUGCUACCAGGAAGAGACCUUUCAAUGAAUGCUGGAUCAAACGCUUCAAAUCUCUUUUAAAGAGAAAUCCUCCUGUAAGUAGAAACUCAUUGAUUCCAUUGGUCUUCAGCAUCCUUCCUUUCUGGUUUGCUCUCUGCAGCUCUGCUUCUAUCCUGGAGUUGUUCUCGUUCCUUGGGGUCUUCUUUUUUCACUUGGUUGUAGGAAUACAAAUUGGAAACAAGCCCAUAAAAACAGCAGAAUCGUGAGGGUUUUAAACCAUAAGAGAUGAGGAGAGGAUGGGGUCUCUGUGCAGUGGGAGCAGCAGGCAGAUGGGAUUUGCAGGUAGUGAGGAGUUAGAAAGAGUGGUCAACCUUCCUCUGGGCCUUACUGUCCGUAUUGCUUUGCUAAAUAAAAUGGUUCCGUGCAGUCCUGUUGCUAACCUUCUGUACGUUCAGUCUUGCUAAACUCAAGUGGCAUUACCGACAGAGCAAAAGGAGGAGGUGGCAGCUCUACUGGGGCAGAUGUCAGCAGUGCCAGUGCUGCUGUGCACUUCUAUGGAUUUCUUCUUGCCAAAGCUCAGAACAGAAUCGGUACAUAUGCUGACCAGGAUGAGGAUAAUUUCAUGCCCGUAGCCUGGUGUGUUUGGUACAGACAGCACAUGCUGGAGUAAUACCAGCGUAGCUAAAAUAAUGGCUUCAUAUUUAAGAGGGCUGCUCUGAAAGUAAUGCCUCCAGUUCCAUGAUGUUGGCCCGUGCCAUCAGAGGCGGGUGUCGGUAUGGCAGGAGAGGUUGAACCUUCCACCAAUAUCCCGUUAAUUCUGCUGCUGUGUGACAGAUGGCAGCAGAGGGGCAGCCUGACAAAUGACGUCUGACAUGGAAGUGCAGACGAAGCAUCUGUUGUAGUUUCCAUGGGAAUAAAUAGGAGGGAUUACUUUCAGAGCAGCCUUUGUAUUCUGAAAUAACUUUUCUGCCCUGCCCAGCAUCACACAGACCUGUGCUGUAGGAGCUGCCUGAGGUGGGAGGUUGGCAGCUGCCCAUCACCUGGUUCUUGGCCUUGGAGACUCCAUUUCCUCCUGGCCCCGUCUGCUGGUCCUUCUUGGUGUAUGCUGAAAGAAAGUCUGUACUUAAACUUGAAGCUUGGUAGCAAAUUGAGAAAUGCAUCUUUUGCAUUUUAAUAGCAAGGAGUGAUGACUUUUGGCCAAAAAAAAAAAAAAAAAAGGCCGGGAUAGGCCUUAUUUAUGAAAUACUCCCAAGAAUUUUCUCCAGUCUCUUUUUUCACGGGGUUAAUAAGUUCUCUGCUAUCGCAGUUCAGUUGUUAGAGCCUCAGCGAGAGAAGGACUAGGCUCGUUUUUAUUUAGUUAUGGGGAAUGUCAUCGAAAAGGUAAGGUGUGUUUGGGUGGGAAGGAAUGAACCUCGAAGCCAUCAGGGCCAUUUUGAGGGCCCUUUCUUGGAUACUGCUUUCAGACGUGGUCAGUCUGAGGCCGGUUGGCCCUUUCAGUGCAGGAGAUCAGUCCCACAGCUCCCGGGCACCACCGGCAAGGCCAAAUGUUGACGUGUUCCUUAAAGAAGGGAGGCAUGACAUGACCCCAGGAGGCUGGAGCACGGCGUGUUGGCUGUGCUGUUGGGAGGGAGGGAGGAGGUGGGCGAUGGGUGGGGAAGGCAGACAAAAAAAAUCCCCAAAAUUGGUACAUUUGGAGUAUUAUUUUGAAGCUGCAGUGUGAGGUUGUCUGAAAUGCUGGAUUCACAGCUGUUCGAUGGAUGGUGUAUAAGAGCAUAACCCAUUUUUAUAGAAUUGUUUCUCCUUUAUUGCUUAAGGCUAAUGGAGGAAAUAGUCUAAUUUUGUCUUAGAAAUUCUCUAUUAAAAUUGUUGGUUUGAGUCCAUCCGCUCAUAGAUUCUGACUGAUGAAACUGCAGGCUGUGAUAUCCGGCAGUUAUAACUUUAUCACUAUUCACUACCCAAGAAUAUUACGGCUUUAAAACAGCCUUAAGCAAAAGGAUGUGAUUUCUUUAUACCGAAUUUGGAUCAUGGAAAAGGAGAAAAAAAAAACAAAAAACAAAAAACCCAACCAUAAAUAAAAAUCAAAACACUGGUAAUCCGUACUGCAUAGCAAACUCUUCUGAAAGAUGUUAUUGCACAUGUAAAAUAUGGAAACUUGACUCUGCUGUGUGUUAGGCAAUCCUGUACUCUUUUUUUUUCCUUCCUCCUUGUUUUUUUUUUUUUUUUGUUUUGGGAUUCUUGUUAAAAUUCAUUUUCUUAAAUGCUUGGUUGGAAGACUGUGACAAUAGCUCAUGAAAUUGAGUGUUAUUUUUCUUUCUUUUUUUUUUUAAUAUGUAAAGUGCAGUCUUCUGUAUUCAUGCAUAUUGUACAUAUCUGUAUAUGUUUUACUGAGCAACUAAAUAACAAUAAAUAUGAUGUUAAUGGUGGCUAUUGUAUAUGUCACGCCAUGUUCUUUGAUUCUUGCAGCAGGUCCUUUUUCCCCUAGGAUGUGAAGAAUGUGAAGAAGGUGCUGUUCCCAUGUAGGUAAACCCUGGGCCUCGUGAUGGUCGGGACAAAUCUCAGCAGAAUGUGGGAGAUCCUCUCUAACCAUUGGCUUCCCUCAGCGGUACGGCUUCACCCAGAGCCAGGUUACUGCAGCAAGGUGUGGUCGUCUUAGUUGUGGAACAGUUUGGGUUGGAAGGGACCAUUAAGACCAUCCAGUUCCAACCCCCUGCUGUAGGCAGGGACAUCUCCCACUAGACCAGGUUGCUCACAGCCCCAUCCAGCCUUGUACCUCCAGGGAGGGGGCAUCCCUUGCCCAAGUGUUCGCUAGGCUUUGCUGGCUCAGUUUCUGCAUGUAUUGAAGCUUCUUCCUUCCCUGUGUCAGCCGGGAGCUGAAUCCUUAACAGAACUUCUCCAGGCAAGAUUUUGAGCUAAAUUCUGUGAGUAAAAAACAAACAGGGAAGAUCCCUUCAUCUCUGUUAUUCAAAUUUCGGACUCUUAAUCCUUUCGUAUCCUAACAUCAGAACACGGUUCUGAACCCAGGGAACGGCCUUGCUUAUCUUUCUCAGAG